CACCUCCAGCAUAUCAAUUAUUGGAGGCACUGCCUGCCCAGUGACAUUCGUUAAACGGCCGCGGUAUCCUGACCGUGCAAAGGUAGCAUAAUCAUUUGUUCUCUAAAUAAGGACUUGUAUGAAUGGCCACACGAGGGUUUUACUGUCUCUUACUUCCAAUCAGUGAAAUUGACCUUCCCGUGAAGAGGCGGGAAUGUCCAAAUAAGACGAGAAGACCCUAUGGAGCUUCAAUUAACUAGCCCAUAAAUAAAUAAUACAACUCCAAAGGACCUAAAACUCCCCUUAAUGGGCUAACAAUUUAGGUUGGGGUGACCUCGGAAUAUAAAAUAACUCCCGAGUGAUUAAAAUCUAGACAAACUAGUCAAAAUAACAUAUCAUUAAUUGAUCCAAAAAUUUGAUCAACGGAACAAGUUACCCUAGGGAUAACAGCGCAAUCCUAUUUGAGAGUCCAUAUCGACAAUAGGGUUUACGACCUCGAUGUUGGAUCAGGACAUCCCAAUGGUGCAGCCGCUAUUAAUGGUUCGUUUGUUCAACGAUUAAAGUCCU
Molecule: ribosomal RNA, 546 nt
Filed under: Eidolon helvum (straw-colored fruit bat)
Lineage: Eukaryota; Metazoa; Chordata; Mammalia; Chiroptera; Pteropodidae
Description: partial 16S ribosomal RNA
Rfam family: Bacterial large subunit ribosomal RNA
Source: RNAcentral